UACGUAGGGCGCAAGCGUUAAUCGGAAUUAUUGGGCGUAAAGCGCGCGCAGGCGGCUUUGCAAGACAGAUGUGAAAUCCCCGGGCUCAACCUGGGAACUGCAUUUGAGACUGAAUAGCUAGGGUGAGGAAGAGGGAAGCGGAAUUUCCGGUGUAGUGGUGAAAUGCGUAGAUAUCGGGAGGAACACCAGUGGCGAAGGCGACUACCUGGCCUGUUCUUGACGCUGAGGCGCGAAAGCUAGGGGAGCAAACGGG
RNAcentral lists this ribosomal RNA (253 nucleotides) under uncultured bacterium. Its description in RNAcentral is "partial 16S ribosomal RNA". It matches the Rfam family "Bacterial small subunit ribosomal RNA", at positions 524 to 776 of the family's 1533-position model. The record is from RNAcentral.